GUCCACGCCGUAAACGAUGGAUGCUAGCCGUUGGCGGGUUUACUCGUCAGUGGCGCAGCUAACGCAUUAAGCAUCCCGCCUGGGGAGUACGGUCGCAAGAUUAAAACUCAAAGGAAUUGACGGGGGCCCGCACAAGCGGUGGAGCAUGUGGUUCAAUUCGAAGCAACGCGCAGAACCUUACCAACCUUUGACAUGUCCCGUAUGGGUUCCAGAGAUGGGAUCCUUCAGUUCGGCUGGCGGGAACACAGGUGCUGCAUGGCUGUCGU
This 266-nucleotide ribosomal RNA is filed under the name uncultured bacterium. Its description in RNAcentral is "partial 16S ribosomal RNA". It matches the Rfam family "Bacterial small subunit ribosomal RNA", at positions 793 to 1055 of the family's 1533-position model. The record is from RNAcentral.